AGAGCACCUCAUCGAAGCGCAAAUAUUGCCCCUCGAGUUGGCGCCAUCAGAGACAUUGACAUCAUCGAAUUGUGGAGGCCACGACGCCAUGGAGAUGGAAGAGAAGGACACCUCGGUAACAAGUAAGCGAUGGCGCCGACAUGGAGAGAGAAAAAUGGAGGCCGCAAGACCACGAUCGAGAGAGAAAGAGCGAAGCAGGAAGACGAGAUGCAAGCGUUCACGCACUAAGGCUAAGGGACGAACGCUCACUCUUAGUCCCGUUCAAAGAAGAAAAAUAUCAAAGAAACAGAGGACAAUAUAAAAUGGAUGCGGGGAAAUUUGCGGUGUGGAGGGAAGGAGAGAAACCGCCCUCGUGGAGCGAAAUCCGACCGGUGAGCAAAGCGAACCCCAUUUGAACCAGCGGAGGCCACCGCAUUCCUGCGGCGCAACGAGGCCACCUCGCCCACCACACGCAAAGCCAGGCAGCGUCGGGCGCGAGGGAGACGGGAGACGGAUCGACCGACCGACCCGACCGGCGCCGAUGGCGAGCUCGCUGGCCCGCCUGGGGGCGGCGCUGCCCCGCGCGCGCCCGCUCGCCGCCGCGGCGGCGGUGGCGGCGGCGCGGACCCCGCCGCGGGGAGCGCGGUGGGACCCCGCCGCCCCACGCCCCGCCUCGCUGUACGCUCGCAGGUGCCAGGCUCACUCGGACGUAAAGGCGCCCCCUGCAUCGGAGUCCAAGGAUGCGGGGAGCUCGUCCCAGGGCUGGAGGAUCAAGAUGCUCUACGAUGGUGAAUGCCCGCUCUGUAUGCGUGAGGUAAACAUGUUGAGGGAAAGGAACAAAUCCUAUGGAGCUAUAAAUUUUGUCGACAUCAGCUCGAAGGAUUACUCUCCGAAGGACAAUCAGGAUCUUGAUUAUGAAACUGCGAUGGGGAGGAUACAUGCCAUUCUCUCAGAUGGAACUAUCGUCACAGAUGUUGAGGCAUUCAGAAGGCUUUAUGAGGAAGUUGGACUCGGAUGGGUUUAUGCAGUUACUAAGUAUGAGCCUGUGGCUACCAUAGCAAAUGCAGUAUAUGGUGUAUGGGCCAAAUACCGUAUGGAAGUUACAGGUCGACCUCCCCUGGAGGAAAUUUUUGCGGCCCGAAGACAAGCGGGUGAAUGUAAAGAUGAUAAAGCAUGCAAGAUGUGAGCAGUGCUCUGCACGUCUUCACUUCUACACACUGUUAGAUAGGCACACAUACAUAUACAGUUAGUCUAAUAUUUGAAGGGUUGCGAGAUUGACGACAGAGACGAUGAUGUUUUCUGUGUUGGGUAGUCAAUAAUUCCAUAAUCUUGCAUGGAUUCUAUGAGCAAGAUACACAACUUUAGCAAGUUAAUUCCGGGAUGCUGUCUUCAGUUCUGCACUGAGUUCGCUUGUUGCAUCGUAUCCUUCAGUGUCCACCUUCUCUGUUUCACUGUGUAUGACCAGACUUGUUCUCUUGUGCAGCAAGAUAUUACAAUACCAUGUAUUGGAAAGUGGAGUGAGUCACUUUCAUACAUAUGUUUAGAUAUUACUCCCUCCAUUCCUAAAUAUAUGACGUUUUGGUAGUUCAGUCUGAACUACCAAAACGUCAUAUAUUUGGAAUUGGAGGAAGUACAUACAUUAACUAGUCAAACGUUCAAAUUAUUCCGAGAUUGAUG
RNAcentral lists this ribosomal RNA (1656 nucleotides) under Triticum aestivum (bread wheat). Its description in RNAcentral is "partial small subunit ribosomal RNA". The record is from RNAcentral. Lineage: Eukaryota; Viridiplantae; Streptophyta; Magnoliopsida; Poales; Poaceae.